AGCGAACGCUGGCGGCAGGCCUAACACAUGCAAGUCGAACGAACCUUUCGGGGUUAGCGGCGGACGGGUGAGUAACGCGUGGGAAUGUGCCCUUCUCUACGGAAUAGCCCUGGGAAACUGGGAGUAAUACCGUAUACGCCCUAUUGGGGAAAGAUUUAUCGGAGAAGGAUCAGCCCGCGUUGGAUUAGGUAGUUGGUGGGGUAAUGGCCUACCAAGCCGACGAUCCAUAGCUGGUUUGAGAGGAUGAUCAGCCACACUGGGACUGAGACACGGCCCAGACUCCUACGGGAGGCAGCAGUGGGGAAUCUUAGACAAUGGGGGCAACCCUGAUCUAGCCAUGCCGCGUGAGUGAUGAAGGCCUUAGGGUUGUAAAGCUCUUUCAGCUGGGAAGAUAAUGACGGUACCAGCAGAAGAAGCCCCGGCUAACUCCGUG
Molecule: ribosomal RNA, 433 nt
Filed under: uncultured bacterium
Lineage: Bacteria
Description: partial 16S ribosomal RNA
Rfam family: Bacterial small subunit ribosomal RNA
Source: RNAcentral